RNAcentral lists this ribosomal RNA (378 nucleotides) under uncultured eukaryote. RNAcentral's name for it is "partial 18S ribosomal RNA". It matches the Rfam family "Eukaryotic small subunit ribosomal RNA", at positions 592 to 976 of the family's 1831-position model. The record is from RNAcentral.
CAAUAGCGUAUAUUAAAGUUGUUGCAGUUAAAAAGCUCGUAGUUGGAUUUCGGGACGGGCCAGUUGGUCCGCCGCAAGGUGUGUUACUGACUGGUCUGUUCUUCUUCGCAAAGACUGCGUGUGCUCUUCGUUGAGUGUGCGUAGGAUUUACGACGUUUACUUUGAAAAAAUUAGAGUGUUCAAAGCAGGCUAUCGCUUGAAUACAUGAGCAUGGAAUAAUGGAAUAGGACUUUGGUCCUAUUUUGUUGGUUUCUAGGACCGAAGUAAUGAUUAAGAGGUACAAUUGGGGGCAUCCGUAUUUCGUUGUCAGAGGUGAAAUUCUUGGAUUUACGAAAGACGAACAACUGCGAAAGCACUUGCCAAGAGUGUUUUCAUUAA